UAUAAUGAACAUCUAUUAAUGAAACUUCAUAUUCAUACAAUUUAUUAAGGUUGGACAUUUUAAUCGAUACCCGAACCCGUAUCUGAAUCCGAUCCGAAGUAGCAAAAUACCGAAAGGUUAUUGAAUUCAGAGAAAUUGGAAAUCUAGAAACAAACGGGUAAUAUCCGAACACGAACGGAUAAUAUCCAAACCCGAAUGAUAUCAAAGAUAACCAAACAUAAGUAUACUUAACCCUACAUUUCUAGUUUACUCCUCUCAUUUUAUUCAAAAAAAUUAUAUUAAUGAUGCACAUUUCUCAAAAUUAGAUAAUAUACAUAUAAUUAUAGAAAAAAUCAUUUGCUACUCACUUAAAAUUCAUAUCAAGCUCUUGUUUGUUGCAUUAAUAAACGUUGCAUCUAAAAUUACGAAACAACAACUAAAUUAGUGGUUAUCUGUUCUUAAAGUUUUAUCUCCAAACCUAUUAAAAGAUUAAUCUUUUGAAAAUUAAUAAACCAGUUAAGUUAAAAAUAUAUUUUAAAUACAAAAAAAAUAAUGAAUAAUUUAUUAAAUUUUUCUUCAAAAUUUCGAUAUCCAAACCCGACCCAAAAUAUCUGAACCCAAACAUAAAAUACCCGAACCGGACCCGAAGUGUAGAAAUACC
This 640-nucleotide long non-coding RNA is filed under the name Brassica napus (rape). RNAcentral's name for it is "long non-coding RNA (BNAP_LNC009651)". The record is from RNAcentral. Lineage: Eukaryota; Viridiplantae; Streptophyta; Magnoliopsida; Brassicales; Brassicaceae.